This is a long non-coding RNA of Scylla paramamosain (green mud crab), 555 nucleotides long. RefSeq lists it as uncharacterized. The transcript has 2 exons. The record is from RefSeq and is a predicted model, not a curated record. Lineage: Eukaryota; Metazoa; Arthropoda; Malacostraca; Decapoda; Portunidae.
CACUCAACCAGACCCAGCCAAGCCAAGAGCUCAGUGGUGAUCCAGGCGUCGUGAGGGAUACACGCACGUCCCUGAGCUCCGGCAGACCAGUGUUCCACGCCCCUUUCCCUUGUCUGGGCCUCUCACUACCCAACACCCUCCUUCAGGACAUCCACGCCUCACACACACCCCUGGUCGCUCGUAUCCUGAAGGCCGUGGUCUGUGGCAAGUGUGUUUGUGCCUCGUCGCCUCGUCUGCGCCUUCGUCAGAACAGCGGCAGAGGAGGACGAGAGAAGUGGAAGAGGGAGAGGAGGAGGUGAGGAGGAAGAAUUCUGAAGUGUGACGAAAAUUUGGAAAAGAAAGUAAAAACGGAAGCGAGGAAGAAACAGUUAGUGAAAAAAAUUAAUAUGUAACUGACGAAAAUUGAGAAUAGUAAUGAAAAGUAGAUAGAACUUGGCGUAUGAAUUAAAAAAAGAAAGAAAGGAAAGAAAAAAAAACUGAGAUUCAUUAACGCACUGAACAAAACAUAAAAAAAAAAUACAGUAAACGCUAAAGAAAACGAAAAAAAAAAAAAAA